Molecule: regulatory RNA element, 122 nt
Organism: Phytophthora megakarya
Lineage: Eukaryota; Oomycota; Peronosporomycetes; Peronosporales; Peronosporaceae
Rfam family: TPP riboswitch aptamer (THI element)
About the family: Vitamin B(1) in its active form thiamin pyrophosphate (TPP) is an essential coenzyme that is synthesised by coupling of pyrimidine and thiazole moieties in bacteria. The previously detected thiamin-regulatory element, thi box was extended, resulting in a new, highly conserved RNA secondary structure, the THI element, which is widely distributed in eubacteria and also occurs in some archaea.
Source: Rfam
UCCAAUAGCGAGGGGUGCCGAUUGCCAGUCAUGGACCAAUUCCAUGCAUUGGCCGGCUGAGAUGAAACCCUUAGAACCUGAUCCGGUUCAUACCGGCGGAGGGACUGCUGCUCUUGUUGUUG